Long non-coding RNA from Gallus gallus (chicken), 312 nucleotides. RefSeq lists it as uncharacterized. The transcript is spliced from 3 exons. The record is from RefSeq and is a predicted model, not a curated record. NCBI's taxonomy places the organism in Eukaryota, Metazoa, Chordata, Aves, Galliformes, Phasianidae.
GGGGCCUGGCACAGUUGAGGCCUGGUGUGGGCCCAGAAGGAAGGGGGCCCAGGCACAGUUCCAAGCAGGUGGGCUCUCAGUGUCUUGCAAGUGCCACUUAGCAGCAGCAAGUCCAGCCAGGAGGCACAGCACCCUGCAACCUCCAGGGGCCUUUGUGCAGCAGCAGAUGUUGAUGGCCCUAGAAGCACGGUGCGGAGCACAUCCUGGGAUCAAGGUGCCACGGACUGGACAAUGCUGCUGUGGCGGAGUUCCUGUGUGAAGACAAAACUCCCAGUCCCCCAGGAACUGUGGAGGCAGAAGAGCAGUGACAAG